Long non-coding RNA from Anthonomus grandis grandis, 1150 nucleotides. RefSeq lists it as uncharacterized. Lineage: Eukaryota; Metazoa; Arthropoda; Insecta; Coleoptera; Curculionidae. The transcript has 3 exons. The record is from RefSeq and is a predicted model, not a curated record.
UGCGAAGAAUGGGCGUUAGCUUUUCGUCGAUUUACGAUAAAUAGAGGCCACAAUACGAAUAAUUAUUGUGAGGCUUCUAUACAAAUUUUUAAAGAUAUCGUCCUUCAGAGGUGUAAAGCCUUCAACAUGUGUGCUUCGGCAGAUUUUGUGCUUAAGACAUUCGAGAUAUAUCACAGAAAAGGGCUGCUACAUUUUGCUAAUUCAAGAUCUCGAAAAAUGAUACUGGACUAUCAGAAAUUUUUUGAGAGAUCCAAAAAUAUAACAGAUGUUACACAGGUUGAUAAAAAACAUUUAAAGUUCAGAGCGAACAAACAUUAGAGUACUACAUAAUUGAUAGUGAAAUUGGAUUUUGCACUUGUCCAAGUGGAAGUGGUGGCCGCUUCUGCAAACACCUACUAGCAGUUGAAAAUAAGUACGGUAUUAUGUUCAAAUCUUCCCUGCUGCUAACUAAAAAUGACCGCCAACAGCUUGCAUAUCUGGCUCUAGGAAAAGAAACUCCUUUGUCGUUCUUUGAAGACAUCAACGCACCUGUGCAUGAAGGAUCAUCAAAUGAACACAUAUUUGAUCAUACUACUUCUCAGCAAGCGGAGUUAGGAGCAUCAUCACAGUUUAACAUGCCCAUUGACCAAAUAGGUCUUGAAGUAGUCCACAAAAUAAAUGAUGAGUUUACACGCAUUGGUCUAGUUUUACAAAAGGAUGCAAAUACGAGCCAUAUACCACAGUUACAGAAAUUUUCCGCUAUACUAGAAACUCUACAGACGCCAUCACAGAUCAUGUCAUUUGUGUGUCACAAAACAACCGGUAGGAGAUCAAGAAAAAUUAAAGUACAACCAACCUCUAUUUCACGCCGAAAAGCUAGAGGUAUUUCAGGAGGAAGAAUUCAAGCUGGACGUCCUACGAAAUUAGAACUUCAGGGCACAAAAAAACUGCCCCAUAAUAUAGCAUUUAAUAUUGAGAAUAAUUUGCAGUGUGCCAAAAAAACAUUAAUAAACGAUGCAAAUAGAACCACACUUUCAAUAAUUUGUCAUAGAAGAACCUACAACAACAUCACGCCGAAGAGCUAAAGAAACCUAUUUUAGUCAAAGCAUCAGAAAAUUAAGCAACCCAUAAUAAUAUGGCUUUUAAUAUUAUCAAUUACUUACAGUAUGAC